RNAcentral lists this non-coding RNA (21 nucleotides) under Caenorhabditis elegans. Lineage: Eukaryota; Metazoa; Nematoda; Chromadorea; Rhabditida; Rhabditidae. The record is from RNAcentral.
UCUUUUCCUUUUUUCCUGUCC